UGUUUCUUGAUUAAAGCUUUUAAGCACAAUCAAGAGUUGUUUGAAGUAUAACUUCGCCAUUGACUUUAAACUAAUUAAAGGUUGUAAUCACUGUGGUGAUUGAGGGGGAGUGAGUAGGUACUUCGCCAUUGACUUUAAACUAAUUAAAGGUUGUAAUCACUGUGGUGAUUGAGGGGGAGUGAGUAGGAACUCUGGUCUUAGUUUAGAUUGAAAUUGCAUUGGGUAGGUCUUAAGUGAUAGGAUUAAAGAGUUGGUUUAAG
RNAcentral lists this long non-coding RNA (260 nucleotides) under Lathyrus oleraceus (garden pea). RNAcentral describes it as "Pisum sativum (pea) long non-coding RNA (PSAT_LNC014382)". The record is from RNAcentral. Lineage: Eukaryota; Viridiplantae; Streptophyta; Magnoliopsida; Fabales; Fabaceae.